UCCUCCCUCUGGCGGCGUGCUUAACACAUGCAAGUCGUACGGUAAGGCCCUUUCGGGGGUACACGAGUGGCGAACGGGUGAGUAACACGUGAGUAACCUGCCCACAACUUUGGGAUAACGCUAGUAAACUGGUGCUAAUACUGGAUAUGUGCUCCUGCUGCAUGGUGGGGGUUGGAAAGCUCCUGCGGUUGUGGAUGGACUCGCGGCCUAUCAGCUUGUUGGUGGGGUAGUGGCCUACCAAGGCGGCGACGGGUAGCCGGCCGGAGAGGGUGACCGGCCACAUUGGGACUGAGAUACGGCCCAGACUCCUACGGGAGGCAGCAGUGGGGAAUAUUGCACAAUGGGCGCAAGCCUGAUGCAGCAACGCCGCGUGCGGGAUGACGGCCUUCGGGUUGUAAACCGCUUUCAGCAGGGACGAAGCUUUUUGUGACGGUACCUGCAGAAGAAGCACCGGCUAACUACGUG
Molecule: ribosomal RNA, 465 nt
Filed under: uncultured bacterium
Lineage: Bacteria
Description: partial 16S ribosomal RNA
Rfam family: Bacterial small subunit ribosomal RNA
Source: RNAcentral